Molecule: ribosomal RNA, 1857 nt
Filed under: Triticum aestivum (bread wheat)
Lineage: Eukaryota; Viridiplantae; Streptophyta; Magnoliopsida; Poales; Poaceae
Description: partial small subunit ribosomal RNA
Source: RNAcentral
AUGCCGCGGAUGUCGUUCAAACUUGCUUCAAGAGGAAAACACCCACUAUCGUUCUUAAACUUGACUUUCACAAAGCCUUUUGACUCCAUCCCCUGGGACGCCUUGACUACUAUUUUGCGUGCCAAAGGCUUCCCCUUGCAAUGGGACAACUGGAUCAGAUCUCUGAAUGAAUCUACCAACUCCGCUAUUUUGCUUAACGGACGCCCCGGCCCGUGGUUCCCCUGCCGUUGUGGUCUGCGACAAGGGGACUCCCUCUCCCCCUACCUCUUUCUGAUUGUCGCCGACGUUCUUCAGCGUAUGAUCUUACAUGCUUCUCAAUCUGGCAUGCUCUCGCACCCCCUAGACGAUAACCUCCCUUGCCCGGUGCUGCAGUACGCCGACGACACGCUGAUUGUGCUGCUGGCGGUCGCUGCGCAGCUGCAUCAUCUCAAGCAGCUUCUUAUGCAAUUCUCCGCGGCCACUGGGCUCUCGAUUAAUUUCCACAAAAGUACGUUCGCUCCAAUCCAUGUUGACUCGGACACCUCCCAUUAUCUUGCUACGAUCCUCGGUUGCAACGUGGCCAGCUUCCCUCAGUCCUACCUAGGGCUACCUCUAUCCACCUCUAAACUGAACGUUUCAGCCUUCUCCUUUCUGAUUGACAAAAUCGACCACAGGUUGGCAGGUUGGCGGGGACUUUUGCUUUCCCUUGCAGGUCGGGCUAUUCUUGUUCGCGCGGCUCUUCGGGCCCUUCCUAUAUAUGCUAUGAGUGCGCUGCUGCUGCCCAUCGGAACGCUUCAACAAAUUGACAAACGCUGCAGGGCCUUCUUCUGGUCAGGGCAGGAUAAAACUACGGGAGGGCAAUGCAAAGUGGCUUGGGACCUUGUGUGCGCUCCUUUCGUGAACGGGGGUCUAGGCUUCUCCUUGCUCAAACACAUGAAUGUCUGUCUUCUUCUUCAUCACCUGUCAAAACUGCAUGACUCUGGCGCUGCCCCAGCCCCGUCCUACCUAGUUACCAAAUAUGGCUGGUCUCCUACCCACGACCUGGGCGUUGGGGAUUCAGCUGGGUCGCCAGUCUGGCGCGAUAUCUUUAAACACCUUGACUUCUUCCGAUCCAUUACGUCGGUUAAACUCGGGAAUGGGGCCACCACCUCGUUCUGGAAUGAUCUUUGGCUCCCAAACAACCAAACUACUCUUGCACCUCAGUUUGCUGCUCUCUACACUCACUCCAAUAGGCAGUCGGCCUCAGUUGCUAGAGUGCUGGAUUCGCCAGAUCUGAACCUCGACCUUGCUCCUCGAUUAUCCCUUGUAGCUGAGAAUGAAUUGGUUGCUUUGCGUAAUAUUAUGGCUUCAAUUAACUUGGAUUCACAGGUGCACGACACCAGGGUCUGCAGGCGAGAGGGCAAGGCCCUUACCACCAGUUUGGCUUAUAAUGCAAUAUGGCACGAGCAUCCGCCGGACCCGAUGGCGGCUGCUAUCUGGAAAAAUUAUGCGCCAAACAAGUGUCGCAUCUUCAUGUGGUUGGCUCACAAAGAUCGAGUAUACACCAAUGAGCGUAGGUUGCGUCGCUCAAUCGCUUCCUUUGAUGCCUGCCCGUUCUGCGGCACCUGCGAGGAUAUCACUCACCUCCUUCUCCGCUGCUCUACUCUUCGGCCGCUCUGGGACGAGCUCCACACCCUUUAUAGGGGGUCGCCGCGCAACGUCGCGGAUAUCUGGCAUCAGGCCCCGCGGGACAAAGUGAGUAAGGUGAAUGAGGCGAACUAUGAGGACCUUAUUGAGGAGAAGAGCAAAGAGCUGACUCGUGUCGUAGGUGAACUGAAGAAGGAAUUUAAAGAACUCGAGUUGGUGUUGGAAAAAAAUGAUGCCCGUGCCAGGAGGUAA